UGUUAAAAAUUUCAUCCAAUUCUACUAUUAAAAAUUGGCGUGGUUGAUGGUAUAACCAGACAAUUACACACAGUGUAUCAUGUGUACCUCAUGCAAACGUAUAGGAACCAAUUUUAAAUAGUAGAAAUGGAUAGAAUUUUUAACA
Non-coding RNA from Gossypium hirsutum (cotton), 145 nucleotides. The record is from Rfam. Lineage: Eukaryota; Viridiplantae; Streptophyta; Magnoliopsida; Malvales; Malvaceae.